AUUGAACGCUGGCGGCAGGCCUAACACAUGCAAGUCGAACGGGAGGCGGACGGGUGAGCAAUUUCUGGGAAACUGCCUGAUGGAGGGGGAAAACUACGGGAAACGUUAGCUACUAGCGCAUACCACCCGAUGUGGCCAGGUGGGAUUAGCGAGUUGGUGGGGUAACGGCUCAUCAAGGCGACGAUGCCUAGCUGGUCUGAGAGGAUGACCGGCCACACUGGGACUGAGACACGGGCCAGACUCCUACGGGAGGCAGCAGUGGGGAAUCUUGCGCAAUGGUCGCAAGCCUGACGGAGCCACGCCGCGGGUGUGAAGAAGGCUUUCGGGUUGUAAAGUACUUUCGGCGAGGAAGCGUUACCCGCAGAGGAAGCCCCGGCUAACUCCGUGCCAGCAGCCGCGGUAAUUC
This 406-nucleotide ribosomal RNA is filed under the name uncultured bacterium. RNAcentral's name for it is "partial 16S ribosomal RNA". It matches the Rfam family "Bacterial small subunit ribosomal RNA", at positions 29 to 526 of the family's 1533-position model. The record is from RNAcentral.